Molecule: ribosomal RNA, 614 nt
Filed under: uncultured bacterium
Lineage: Bacteria
Description: bacterial SSU rRNA
Rfam family: Bacterial small subunit ribosomal RNA
Source: RNAcentral
CACGCCCUAAACUAUGUCAACUGGUUGUCGGGGAAGAAAUUCCUUGGUAACGAAGCUAACGCGUGAAGUUGACCGCCUGGGGAGUACGGCCGCAAGGUUAAAACUCAAAGGAAUUGACGGGGACCCGCACAAGCGGUGGAUUAUGUGGAUUAAUUCGAUGCAACGCGAAAAACCUCACCUACCCUUGACAUGUACGGAACCCUCCAGAGAUGGAGGGGUGCCCGAAAGGGAGCCGUAACACAGGUGCUGCAUGGCUGUCGUCAGCUCGUGUCGUGAGAUGUUGGGUUAAGUCCCGCAACGAGCGCAACCCUUGCCAUUAGUUGCUACAUUCAGUUGGGCACUCUAAUGGGACUGCCGGUGACAAACCGGAGGAAGGUGGGGAUGACGUCAAGUCCUCAUGGCCCUUAUGGGUAGGGCUUCACACGUAAUACAAUGGCCGGUACAGAGGGCUGCCAACCCGCGAGGGGGCGCAAAUCCCAGAAAGCCGGUCGUAGUCCGGAUUGCAGUCUGCAACUCGACUGCAUGAAGCCGGAAUCGCUAGUAAUCGCGGAUCAGCACGUGGCGGCGUAUACGUCCCGUUUCUUCCCCUCACUCGCUACGCGCAUCUAGAUGGU